This 244-nucleotide long non-coding RNA is filed under the name Lathyrus oleraceus (garden pea). RNAcentral's name for it is "Pisum sativum (pea) long non-coding RNA (PSAT_LNC023329)". Lineage: Eukaryota; Viridiplantae; Streptophyta; Magnoliopsida; Fabales; Fabaceae. The record is from RNAcentral.
UUUCUGCUGUUGUGACAUCUGAUGUGACAUCUCAGGUUUUCUUUUAACAUGGCUGCACUUAGGUUUGGAUUUUGGUUUGCAACUAGGGUAACUGCACUAAGCCUUAAAUCCAAUACCAGAUUUGUUUCCUGUUAUUUGGCCAGUCUGAAGAAUCUUGUCUAGGAUGGCAGAUCCAUUGUUAAGCAUUCUUACAUACUUAGUCAUCUCAUCUAGUUUGGAAUUCAAGAAUACAGCUUCAGUCUCU